Molecule: ribosomal RNA, 417 nt
Filed under: Micrococcus luteus
Lineage: Bacteria; Bacillati; Actinomycetota; Actinomycetes; Micrococcales; Micrococcaceae
Description: bacterial SSU rRNA
Rfam family: Bacterial small subunit ribosomal RNA
Source: RNAcentral
GAUGAACGCUGGCGGCGUGCUUAACACAUGCAAGUCGAACGAUGAAGCCCAGCCUGCUGGGCGGAUUAGUGGCGAACGGGUGAGUAACACGUGAGUAACCUGCCCUUGACUCUGGGAUAAGCCCGGGAAACUGGGUCUAAUACCGGAUAGGAGCGCCUGUCGCAUGACGGGUGCUGGAAAGAUUUUUCGGUCAUGGAUGGACUCGCGGCCUAUCAGCUUGUUGGUGAGGUAACGGCUCACCAAGGCGACGACGGGUAGCCGGCCUGAGAGGGUGACCGGCCACACUGGGACUGAGACACGGCCCAGACUCCUACGGGAGGCAGCAGUGGGGAAUAUUGCACAAUGGGCGGAAGCCUGAUGCAGCGACGCCGCGUGAGGGAUGACGGCCUUCGGGUUGUAAACCUCUUUCAGUAGGGA